UUAUUUUUAUGUAUAUUCGAA
Non-coding RNA from Caenorhabditis elegans, 21 nucleotides. The record is from Ensembl. Lineage: Eukaryota; Metazoa; Nematoda; Chromadorea; Rhabditida; Rhabditidae.